This 588-nucleotide ribosomal RNA is filed under the name Veillonella parvula. Its description in RNAcentral is "bacterial SSU rRNA". It matches the Rfam family "Bacterial small subunit ribosomal RNA", at positions 1 to 578 of the family's 1533-position model. Lineage: Bacteria; Bacillati; Bacillota; Negativicutes; Veillonellales; Veillonellaceae. The record is from RNAcentral.
GAAUUGAAGAGUUUGAUCAUGGCUCAGAUUGAACGCUGGCGGCAGGCUUAACACAUGCAAGUCGAACGGUAGCAGGAGAAAGCUUGCUUUCUUGCUGACGAGUGGCGGACGGGUGAGUAAUGCUUGGGAAUCUGGCUUAUGGAGGGGGAUAACUACGGGAAACUGUAGCUAAUACCGCGUAGAAUCGGAAGAUGAAAGUGCGGGACCGCAAGGCCGCAUGCCAUGAGAUGAGCCCAAGUGGGAUUAGGUAGUUGGUGGGGUAAAGGCCUACCAAGCCUGCGAUCUCUAGCUGGUCUGAGAGGAUGGCCAGCCACACUGGAACUGAGACACGGUCCAGACUCCUACGGGAGGCAGCAGUGGGGAAUAUUGCGCAAUGGGGGAAACCCUGACGCAGCCAUGCCGCGUGAAUGAAGAAGGCCUUCGGGUUGUAAAGUUCUUUCGGUAUUGAGGAAGGGAUGUAUGUUAAUAGCAUACAUUAUUGACGUUAAAUACAGAAGAAGCACCGGCUAACUCCGUGCCAGCAGCCGCGGUAAUACGGAGGGUGCGAGCGUUAAUCGGAAUAACUGGGCGUAAAGGGCACGCAGGCGG